AGGACGAACGCUGGCGGCGUGCUUAACACAUGCAAGUCGAACGGAUUAGUGGGAGCUUGCUCCUGGCUAAGUGAGUGGCGGACGGGUGAGUAACGCGUGAACAAUCUGUCUCAUACAGGGGGAUAACGCAUCGAAAGAUGUGCUAAUACCGCGUAGGACCACGGAAUCGCAUGGUACUGAGGUGAAAGGCGAAAGCCGGUAUGAGGUGAGUUCGCGUCUGAUUAGAUAGUUGGUGAGGUAACGGCCCACCAAGUCAACGAUCAGUAGCCGACCUGAGAGGGUGAUCGGCCACAUUGGGACUGAGACACGGCCCAGACUCCUACGGGAGGCAGCAGUGGGGAAUAUUGGGCAAUGGGCGAAAGCCUGACCCAGCAACGCCGCGUGAAGGAAGAAGGUUUUCGGAUCGUAAACUUCUGUCCUAUGAGAAGAUAAUGACGGUAUCAUAGGAGGAAGCCCCGGCUAACUACGUGCCAGCCGCCGC
RNAcentral lists this ribosomal RNA (481 nucleotides) under uncultured bacterium. RNAcentral describes it as "bacterial SSU rRNA". It matches the Rfam family "Bacterial small subunit ribosomal RNA", at positions 26 to 518 of the family's 1533-position model. The record is from RNAcentral.